Molecule: ribosomal RNA, 466 nt
Filed under: uncultured bacterium
Lineage: Bacteria
Description: partial 16S ribosomal RNA
Rfam family: Bacterial small subunit ribosomal RNA
Source: RNAcentral
GACGAACGCUGGCGGCGUGCUUAACACAUGCAAGUCGAACGGAAAGGCCCUGCUUGCAGGGUACUCGAGUGGCGAACGGGUGAGUAACACGUGGGUGAUCUGCCCUGCACUUCGGGAUAAGCCUGGGAAACUGGGUCUAAUACCGGAUAGGAGCCAUUUUUAGUGUGAUGGUUGGAAAGUUUUUUUCGGUGUAGGAUGAGCUCGCGGCCUAUCAGCUUGUUGGUGGGGUAAUGGCCUACCAAGGCGGCGACGGGUAGCCGGCCUGAGAGGGUGGACGGCCACAUUGGGACUGAGAUACGGCCCAGACCCCUACGGGAGGCAGCAGUGGGGAAUAUUGCACAAUGGGCGCAAGCCUGAUGCAGCGACGCCGCGUGGGGGAUGACGGCCUUCGGGUUGUAAACUCCUUUCGCUAGGGACGAAGCUUUUUGUGACGGUACCUAGAUAAGAAGCACCGGCUAACUACGUG